Molecule: non-coding RNA, 89 nt
Organism: Byssothecium circinans
Lineage: Eukaryota; Fungi; Ascomycota; Dothideomycetes; Pleosporales; Massarinaceae
Source: the annotation of a GenBank genome assembly
UCUUUGAUGGUCUAGUGGUUAUGAUUUCCGCUUGUCAAAGCAUAGCUUAACAAGCGCGGGAGACCGGGGUUCGAUUCCCCGUCAGAGAG